This 21-nucleotide non-coding RNA is filed under the name Arabidopsis thaliana (thale cress). The record is from RNAcentral. Lineage: Eukaryota; Viridiplantae; Streptophyta; Magnoliopsida; Brassicales; Brassicaceae.
UGGCUUUCUCAGCUGCCACGG